GCCAGGUGUGGUAGCACAUGCCUGUAAUCCCAGCAGCCAGGAGGCUGAGACAGGAAGAUCUCAAGUUCAAGCACAGUCUCAGCAACUUAAUGGGACCCUGUCUCAA
Molecule: small RNA, 106 nt
Filed under: Marmota monax (woodchuck)
Lineage: Eukaryota; Metazoa; Chordata; Mammalia; Rodentia; Sciuridae
Source: RNAcentral